RNAcentral lists this ribosomal RNA (429 nucleotides) under Chloroflexota bacterium. RNAcentral's name for it is "Chloroflexi bacterium partial 16S ribosomal RNA". It matches the Rfam family "Bacterial small subunit ribosomal RNA", at positions 355 to 776 of the family's 1533-position model. Lineage: Bacteria; Bacillati; Chloroflexota. The record is from RNAcentral.
UGGGGAAUAUUGCACAAUGGGCGCAAGCCUGAUGCAGCCAUGCCGCGUGUAUGAAGAAGGCCUUCGGGUUGUAAAGUACUUUCAGCGGGGAGGAAGGGAGUAAAGUUAAUACCUUUGCUCAUUGACGUUACCCGCAGAAGAAGCACCGGCUAACUCCGUGCCAGCAGCCGCGGUAAUACGGAGGGUGCAAGCGUUAAUCGGAAUUACUGGGCGUAAAGCGCACGCAGGCGGUUUGUUAAGUCAGAUGUGAAAUCCCCGGGCUCAACCUGGGAACUGCAGCUGAUACUGGCAAGCUUGAGUCUCGUAGAGGGGGGUAGAAUUCCAGGGGUAGCGGUGAAAUGCGUAGAGAUCUGGGGGAAUACCGGUGGCGAAGGCGGCCCCCUGGACGAAGACUGACGCUCAGGUGCGAAAGCGUGGGGAGCAAACAGG